UACGGAAGGUGCAAGCGUUGUUCGGAUUGACUGGGCGUAAAGCGCACGUAGGCGGGUUUACAAGUCGGGUGUGAAAGCCCCGGGCUCAACCUGGGAACUGCACUCGAAACUGUAGAUCUUGAAUACCCAAGAGGUUGGUAGAAUUCCAGGUGUAGGAGUGAAAUCCGUAGAUAUCUGGAGGAACAUCGGAGGCGAAGGCGGCCAACUGGUGGUGUAUUGACGCUGAGGUGCGAAAGCGUGGGGAGCAAACAGG
Molecule: ribosomal RNA, 253 nt
Filed under: uncultured bacterium
Lineage: Bacteria
Description: partial 16S ribosomal RNA
Rfam family: Bacterial small subunit ribosomal RNA
Source: RNAcentral